UCCACCAACCGGAAGAGUUCGGGAAAGGUUUAAAGGAGACACCGCCUGUACAUUGUGAGCCACGCGGCAGAGCAGUUCUCCUGGGUUUCCUUACCCUGCUGCUCUCCACCCGGGGGCCCUUUCCCAAUAAAAUCUCUUGCUCUGUCAGCACAUAUGUCUCCUCAGACAAUUCAUUUCCAAGUAUUAGGCAAGAGCCCAGUUUCGGGUCCUGGAAGGGGUCCCUCUUCCUGCAACAAAUGGUGUCUCUGGCGGAGACUCUUCUUCACCAAGACUGACAUCCUAACCACUUGGGGUACUCAGGGGCCAGCUUGCCUGCCAAUGGACCAGACCCAGCGGCCGCAACUGGGACCCUUUUGUCCCUGGUCUCCUCCUGACGUGGACAACUGGCCAGAGUGCCCCAACCGGUAACAGAUUUAGUUACUUCAACUGAUUCUUCAAUCAGACUACUACUCUCUAUAAUCCUAAUUAACAAACCUAUGUUUAAAAAUGUUUUACAUAAAAGUAUUAUCUACUGACAUUCUUUUCUACUUGGUAAUGUAAUGCGCAUUCUCUAGAUAAAAUAUCCUUAAUCUUCCACCCCACCAGAGAUCAAAAUGCCAACAUCCACUGGAUCAUUGACAAAGCAACAGAGUUCCAAAAAACCAUCUAUUUCGGCUUUAUUGACUAUACCAAAGCCUUUGACUGUGUGGAUCACAAUAAACUGUGGAAAAUUCGAAAGAGAUAGGAAUACCAGAUCACCUGACCUACCUCUUGAGAAACCUAUAUGAAGGUCAGGAAGCAACAGUUACAAAUGGACAUGGAACAAAAGGCUGGCUCCAGAUAGGAAAAGGAAUAUGUCAAGGCUGUAUAUUGUCACCCUGCUUAUUUAACUUAUAUGCAGAGUACAUCAUGAGAAAAUUCGGUCUGGAGGAAGCAUGAGCUGGAAUCAAGAUUGCCGGGAGAAAUAUCAAUAACCUCAGAUAUGUAAAUGAGACCACCUUAUGGCAGAAAGUGAA
This 995-nucleotide long non-coding RNA is filed under the name Capra hircus (goat). Its description in RNAcentral is "lncRNA (ENSCHIG00000007387.1)". Lineage: Eukaryota; Metazoa; Chordata; Mammalia; Artiodactyla; Bovidae. The record is from RNAcentral.